This 573-nucleotide ribosomal RNA is filed under the name Colletotrichum sp. BDS-2011. RNAcentral's name for it is "eukaryotic LSU rRNA". The stretch from base 214 to 367 matches the Rfam family "5.8S ribosomal RNA". The record is from RNAcentral. Lineage: Eukaryota; Fungi; Ascomycota; Sordariomycetes; Glomerellales; Glomerellaceae.
GUAACAAGGUCUCCGUUGGUGAACCAGCGGAGGGAUCAUUACUGAGUUUACGCUCUAUAACCCUUUGUGAACAUACCUAUAACUGUUGCUUCGGCGGGUAGGGUCUCCGUGACCCUCCCGGCCUCCCGCCCCCGGGCGGGUCGGCGCCCGCCGGAGGAUAACCAAACUCUGAUUUAACGACGUUUCUUCUGAGUGGUACAAGCAAAUAAUCAAAACUUUUAACAACGGAUCUCUUGGUUCUGGCAUCGAUGAAGAACGCAGCGAAAUGCGAUAAGUAAUGUGAAUUGCAGAAUUCAGUGAAUCAUCGAAUCUUUGAACGCACAUUGCGCCCGCCAGCAUUCUGGCGGGCAUGCCUGUUCGAGCGUCAUUUCAACCCUCAAGCUCUGCUUGGUGUUGGGGCCCUACAGCUGAUGUAGGCCCUCAAAGGUAGUGGCGGACCCUCCCGGAGCCUCCUUUGCGUAGUAACUUUACGUCUCGCACUGGGAUCCGGAGGGACUCUUGCCGUAAAACCCCCAAUUUUCCAAAGGUUGACCUCGGAUCAGGUAGGAAUACCCGCUGAACUUAAGCAUAUCA